UACGUAGGGGGCGAGCGUUGUCCGGAGUUACUGGGCGUAAAGGGCGCGCAGGCGGUCUGGCAAGUUUGGAGUGACAGUGCUCGGCUUAACUGAGCAAGGCCUUCGAAAACUGCUAGACUUGAGCACUCAAGAGGGACAUAGAAUUCCGGGUGGAGUGGUGAAAUGCGUAGAUAUCCGGAGGAAUACCAGAGGCGAAGGCAGUGUCCUGGGGAGUGUCUGACGCUCAGGCGCGAAAGCUAGGGGAGCGAACAGG
RNAcentral lists this ribosomal RNA (253 nucleotides) under uncultured bacterium. Its description in RNAcentral is "partial 16S ribosomal RNA". It matches the Rfam family "Bacterial small subunit ribosomal RNA", at positions 524 to 776 of the family's 1533-position model. The record is from RNAcentral.